RNAcentral lists this ribosomal RNA (253 nucleotides) under uncultured bacterium. RNAcentral describes it as "partial 16S ribosomal RNA". It matches the Rfam family "Bacterial small subunit ribosomal RNA", at positions 524 to 776 of the family's 1533-position model. The record is from RNAcentral.
AAAAGAAGAGGGAAGCGGCAUGCGGAAUUAUUGGGCGUAAAGGGUACGUAGGCGGCUGGUCAAGUCUGGGGUCAAAGGCCACAGCUCAACUGUGGGAAGGCCCUGGAAACUGACCGGCUAGAGAGAGGUAGGGGUUGCGGGAAUUCCCGGUGUAGCGGUGAAAUGCGUAGAGAUCGGGAAGAACACCUGAGGCGGAAGCGCGCAACUGGGCCUCUACUGACGCUGAGAUACUAAAGCUAGGGGAGCGAAUGGG